AGGAAACAAGUUCUUUCAUCUGUUCCACAUAUCUUAGAAACUGUUCAGAUGAAGUUUCAGCUAUACUAAUUGAUUUGGGUUCAGAUACGUGUAAAGCUGGUUAAGCCAGAGAAGAUGCUCCCAAGGCCGUGUUUCCUUCUCCACUAAGAAGUGCAAUUGCUUCAACAUUUUACCCUGAUCUCAGCAUAGAAGAUGAUGAUAUAUUUGUCUCAGAUGGAGCAAAGUGUGAUAUAUCUCGUCUCCAGUAGAGGAAGUUAGAAAACUUGAAGGCACAACAUUGUAUAGAUCAAGGACUUUGUUCUUCCUUACACACGACAACGCGUUAAGACCUCUAGCGAUUGAGCUAGCUUGGCCGCCGAUGAAUGGAAAGCCACAGUGGAGGCAGUUCUAAAUCCAAUUCCCCUUUUGAACUGGUUGCAUCACUACGCGGACACACUAAAUCUGUUGUUUGCCUGGCUGUUGGAUGUAACAAGAUGUUGUACUCAGGAUCCAAGGAUCAAAGCAUCAAGGUUUGGGACCUAGACAAAUUUGAGUGUUAAAUGACACUCAAUGCGCAUACAGGAGAAGUCACAUCCCUUAUUUGUUGGGACAAAUUCUUGCUAUCCGGUUCAUCAGACUGCACUAUCGAGACUUUGCUUGAGAAGAUGAAGUCGGUGUACACGAAUGUAGAAGGUCUUCCUCCAUAUCGAAUUGUGGAAAGCAAUUGCUUCUCCAUGGCGUGGUAUUUUGGCCAUGGAUGAAUCCAAUGCUACAUGUGGAAAGCGGUUGGAUUCAAUUGGACUAAAGAACACCGAAGCUAACCGUCAAGUAUGGCGUAAAAUUAUAUAUGAAGAAAGUGUUAUGACUUGGUUAAAAUAUAAUUUUUAUGUGUAUGAUUUUAUAGUACUUGAAAUAUUAUGAAUGCACAUGAUUUUGUAUA
Molecule: long non-coding RNA, 919 nt
Organism: Vicia villosa (hairy vetch)
Lineage: Eukaryota; Viridiplantae; Streptophyta; Magnoliopsida; Fabales; Fabaceae
Exons: 6
Source: RefSeq, a predicted model, not a curated record